This 591-nucleotide long non-coding RNA is filed under the name Ananas comosus (pineapple). RNAcentral describes it as "long non-coding RNA (ACOM_LNC021577)". The record is from RNAcentral. Lineage: Eukaryota; Viridiplantae; Streptophyta; Magnoliopsida; Poales; Bromeliaceae.
AGGAAAAAGAAGAAGAAAAAGAAAAAGAGAAAAAAAAAUUGGUCCUGCAGGAAGAAGAAGAAGAAGAAGAGCCCGCCUGGCGGUGCUCCGGUGGCGCGCCCGCCUGGCUUUCGCUAUUUUUUUUCGGCGAAAAAAAAAAGAACGAGAGAACGAAGAGGAGAGAGAAAGAGGAAAGAGAAAAAGUAAUAAGGGUAUUUUGGUCAGUUUGCUGAAAAAGUGGACCGAAUUUGUAAAAACGAAAAAGGUGACCCGAUUUUGCAAAAGCUCAAAAUAAGUGGAUUUUUUAUGCAAAAAGGCCAUAUAUAUAUAUAUAUAUAUAUAAAGUUCUACCAAAAAUGUACCUAAAUUCAAAUACAAUUAAAAUUCUACUCUAACUAAAACCUAAGUCGAAGUAAAUUUAUUUCUACUAAACAUAAAUAUUUAUCCUAAUUUAAUUAAAAUUUUACUAUAAAUCUAACUAAAUUCUAACAGAUAUAUCAACAACUUGAGUUUAAGUACGUACUUUUAGCCAAUUAAUUAUUAGUCUCUUAAGUUGAACCAUUACGUAUGGCUAUCGAAAUCCAUUAAUCCAAACUGUAUGUAUCGUCACGC